UCGGCUGAUCUAGUCAGA
RNAcentral lists this small nuclear RNA (18 nucleotides) under Arabidopsis thaliana (thale cress). RNAcentral describes it as "snRNA_10683". The record is from RNAcentral. Lineage: Eukaryota; Viridiplantae; Streptophyta; Magnoliopsida; Brassicales; Brassicaceae.